UACGGGGGGGGUAAGCGUUGUUCGGAAUUACUGGGCGUAAAGGGCUCGUAGGCGGCCAACUAAGUCGGACGUGAAAUCCCUCAGCUUAACUGGGGAACUGCGUCCGAUACUGGAUGGCUUGGAUUUGGGAGAGGGAUGCGGAAUUCCAGGUGUAGCGGUGAAAUGCGUAGAUAUCAGGAGGAACACCGAUGGCGAAGGCAGGUCUCUGGGCUGACACUGACGCUCAUGCACGAAAGCGUGGGGAGCAAACAGG
This 253-nucleotide ribosomal RNA is filed under the name uncultured bacterium. Its description in RNAcentral is "partial 16S ribosomal RNA". It matches the Rfam family "Bacterial small subunit ribosomal RNA", at positions 524 to 776 of the family's 1533-position model. The record is from RNAcentral.